CUCUCCCUCUUGAGCCGUGGCCACCCUCUCCCUCUCCUUUGGUUUCAGCCGCAAGCAAGGGAAGAAGAACUCCAAGUGUUGGCGGCAUCCUCUUCCUCCCUUCUUCCUUCCAACGCAGGGAAAAGAAAGAAGGCUGCGUGCGGAUUCUUCUUCUUCCUCUUCUUCAUCCUUCUUCUUCCUCCUCUCAAGCACAAUCAAGGGUUGAUUGAAAGAGAAGAGAUCAGCCAUCAAAAGAAGUCUUUGCAAGGGAGCUAGCACCCCGGGAAGACAAGAAAGCUUUGAUCGGUCCUCUGCUUCGUGUGGAUACCCGUAGAGGCCGGACGUUUGAACGGCUUCAAAC
RNAcentral lists this long non-coding RNA (340 nucleotides) under Phoenix dactylifera (date palm). RNAcentral's name for it is "long non-coding RNA (PDAC_LNC011967)". The record is from RNAcentral. Lineage: Eukaryota; Viridiplantae; Streptophyta; Magnoliopsida; Arecales; Arecaceae.